GGGUUAAGUCCCGCAACGAGCGCAACCCUUGUCUUUAAUUGCCAUCAUUCAGUUGGGCACUUUAAAGAGACUGCCGGUGUUAAACCGGAGGAAGUGGGGAUGACGUCAAGUCCUCAUGGCCUUUAUGCCCAGGGCUACACACGUGCUACAAUGGGUGGUACAAAGAGAUGCAAUCUCGCAAGAGCAAGCAAACCUCAAAAAGCCAUCCUCAGUUCGGAUUGGAGUCUGCAACUCGACUCCAUGAAGUCGGAAUCGCUAGUAAUCGCGGAUCAGCACGCCGCGGUGAAUACGUUCCCGGGCCUU
This 303-nucleotide ribosomal RNA is filed under the name uncultured Syntrophus sp. Its description in RNAcentral is "bacterial SSU rRNA". It matches the Rfam family "Bacterial small subunit ribosomal RNA", at positions 1077 to 1382 of the family's 1533-position model. The record is from RNAcentral. Lineage: Bacteria; Pseudomonadati; Thermodesulfobacteriota; Syntrophia; Syntrophales; Syntrophaceae.